AUGAGGAUUCUUAACAUUCUGAAGAAUCACUCAAAACAUCUCCACAAAAUUCUCUCUGCUAUCUCAACUUCACGAUUCAUUUUUCAUAUUCACUCUCAAAUUGCAACCUUCAUCUUCAAUCAUCUCCAAAAACCAGAAAAGUUUUUUAGAAAUCAAGUUUCGUUCACAAAUAUCAUAAAACCACAAGAAGCUUUCAAUAAAAAACCCUAA
Non-coding RNA from Vicia faba (fava bean), 210 nucleotides. The record is from the annotation of a GenBank genome assembly. NCBI's taxonomy places the organism in Eukaryota, Viridiplantae, Streptophyta, Magnoliopsida, Fabales, Fabaceae.